Molecule: long non-coding RNA, 656 nt
Organism: Panicum hallii
Lineage: Eukaryota; Viridiplantae; Streptophyta; Magnoliopsida; Poales; Poaceae
Exons: 2
Source: RefSeq, a predicted model, not a curated record
AGGGUGUAUGCGUGUACCGCUGAAUAUGCCAACAGAAACACCAAUUUUUGUGAAUGCUAUGCAAUAUGAAGGCAUUCUUCAUCGACGCUGUGCCCGUGCCAAAGCAGAGAGGGGAAAUAGGCUGGCAAAAGCCAGAUAGCCAUAUCUCCAUGAGUCACGCCAUGUGCAUGCACUACGGCACGCAAGAGGCAAUGGUGGACGUUUCCUCAACAUGAAGAAAGAGUCCAACGUGAAGGAUGCUGGUGGAGAUGGCAAGGCAAUGAUCAGUAACCCGCUUAUGCGCGUGGUGGUGUCUCCAAGUUCAGGAUCCAGCAGUCAGACGUGGGCAACCCAAGCAGCAUCUCCAGUCUAUUGGGAUCAUGUGAUGAGUGGAACACCAUUGCCCCCAAAAUCUGGUAGUACUAGCUACCAGCAUCAAACUCGUUCCGCCUUAGCAGGUUUCAGUGUUGUUUUCUGAAUAAAGCCUGAAACUUGGGAGUCCUCUGAAGUUUCGGAGGUACUGGAAGUGGAGUAUAUUUGGAGUCUGAUUGUAUGUCAAGACUAUGGCUUUGUUAGUGAUGAUAUGUGGUGUGCUUGAAGCUUGUGCGGACUUGGUUUGUAAUAUGUGGUGUGUUAAAAGCUUUAAUUCGGUAGUGUAAUCAUGUGUUGACUACUGA